RNAcentral lists this long non-coding RNA (270 nucleotides) under Elaeis guineensis (African oil palm). RNAcentral's name for it is "long non-coding RNA (EGUI_LNC041638)". The record is from RNAcentral. Lineage: Eukaryota; Viridiplantae; Streptophyta; Magnoliopsida; Arecales; Arecaceae.
UGAACCUCUAGGAGCAGUUAGCAUAUGAUACAGUCCCUCUAUCAUGAGUCCCGACCAGAUGGCAGGUCAUGGAUGAAUCGUCAAACCUCAUCAUCAGUCAUAUGAUAGAUUCAAUUAGCUCGAGUACAUAUAUGAUUCUCAUAGAAACUCUUUUCUAUUAAUCACACUGCUAUGGCCAUAGAUUUAAAGACUCAGCUUCUUAAAUCUCAUAGGACUACUCUUUUCUGCUAAGAUCGAUAGAUCCUAUCUAGGUGAACAUCCUACUCCUAC